This 590-nucleotide ribosomal RNA is filed under the name uncultured bacterium. RNAcentral describes it as "bacterial SSU rRNA". It matches the Rfam family "Bacterial small subunit ribosomal RNA", at positions 56 to 638 of the family's 1533-position model. The record is from RNAcentral.
UGCAGUCGAACGGCAGCAUAGAGGGCUUGCUCUCUGAUGGCGAGUGGCGAACGGGUGAGUAAUAUGUCGGAACGUGCCUAGUAAUGGGGAACAACUAAUCGAAAGGUUAGCUAAUACCGCAUACGACCUACGGGUGAAAGCAGGGGAUCUUCGGACCUUGCGUUAUUAGAGCGGCCGAUAUCUGAUUAGGUAGUUGGUGGGGUAAAGGCCUACCAAGCCGACGAUCAGUAGCUGGUCUGAGAGGACGAUCAGCCACACUGGAACUGAGACACGGUCCAGACUCCUACGGGAGGCAGCAGUGGGGAAUUUUGGACAAUGGGGGAAACCCUGAUCCAGCCAUUCCGCGUGAGUGAAGAAGGCCUUCGGGUUGUAAAGCUCUUUCGCAAGAGAAGAAAUCUUACUAUCUAAUAAAUAGUGAGGAUGACGGUAUCUUGACAAGAAGCACCGGCUAACUAUGUGCCAGCAGCCGCGGUAAUACAUAGGGUGCGAGCGUUAAUCGGAAUUACUGGGCGUAAAGGGUGCGCAGGCGGUCUUAUAAGUCAGAUGUGAAAUCCCCGAGCUCAACUUGGGAACUGCGUUUGAAACUAUAA